This 497-nucleotide ribosomal RNA is filed under the name uncultured bacterium. Its description in RNAcentral is "partial 16S ribosomal RNA". It matches the Rfam family "Bacterial small subunit ribosomal RNA", at positions 28 to 507 of the family's 1533-position model. The record is from RNAcentral.
GAUGAACGCUGGCGGCGUGCCUAAUACAUGCAAGUCGAGCGAACGGACGAGAAGCUUGCUUCUCUGAUGUUAGCGGCGGACGGGUGAGUAACACGUGGAUAACCUACCUAUAAGACUGGGAUAACUUCGGGAAACCGGAGCUAAUACCGGAUAAUAUUUUGAACCGCAUGGUUCAAAAGUGAAAGACGGUCUUGCUGUCACUUAUAGAUGGAUCCGCGCUGCAUUAGCUAGUUGGUAAGGUAACGGCUUACCAAGGCAACGAUGCAUAGCCGACCUGAGAGGGUGAUCGGCCACACUGGAACCGAGACACGGUCCAGACUCCUACGGGAGGCAGCAGUAGGGAAUCUUCCGCAAUGGGCGAAAGCCUGACGGAGCAACGCCGCGUGAGUGAUGAAGGCCUUCGGAUCGUAAAACUCUGUUAUUAGGGAAGAACAUAUGUGUAAGUAACUGUGCACAUCUUGACGGUACCUAAUCAGAAAGCCACGGCUAACUACGUG